This 120-nucleotide ribosomal RNA is filed under the name Microcebus murinus (gray mouse lemur). The record is from RNAcentral. Lineage: Eukaryota; Metazoa; Chordata; Mammalia; Primates; Cheirogaleidae.
GUCCAUGGCCAUACCACCCUGAACGUAGCUGAUUUUAUCUGGUCCUGGAAGCUAAGUUAGUGUUGGACCUGGUUAGUACUGGGAUGAGAGAUGCCCUGGGAAUACUGGGUGCUAUAGGCU